GUGCAGCAGGCGAGAAACUUCACACUGUGCGAAAGCACGAUGAGGGAAUCCCAAGUGCUUGCACGUAAGUGUAAGCUGUUUCUCUGUUUAAACGCAGAGAGAGUAAGGGCUGGGUAAGACGGGUGCCAGCCGCCGCGGUAAUACCUGCAGCUCAAGUGGUGACCGUUAUUAUUGGGCCUAAAACGUCCGUAGCCGGUUUAAUAAAUGCCUGGGUAAAUCGUGUAGCUUAACUAUACGAAUUCCGGGUAGACUGUUAAACUCGAGACCGGGAGAAGUUAGAGGUACUCCUGGGGUAGAGGUGAAAUUCUGUAAUCCUAGGGGGACCACCAGUGGCGAAGGCGUCUAACUAGAACGGGUCUGACGGUGAGGGACGAAGCCCUGGGGCGCAAAACGGGGAUUAGAUACCCGGGUAGU
Molecule: ribosomal RNA, 414 nt
Filed under: uncultured microorganism
Description: bacterial SSU rRNA
Rfam family: Archaeal small subunit ribosomal RNA
Source: RNAcentral